AUUGAACGCUGGCGGCAUGCCUUACACAUGCAAGUCGAACGGCAGCACGGGAGCUUGCUCCUGGUGGCGAGUGGCGAACGGGUGAGUAAUACAUCGGAACGUACCCUGAAGUGGGGGAUAACGUAGCGAAAGUUACGCUAAUACCGCAUAUUCUGUGAGCAGGAAAGAGGGGGAUCGCAAGACCUCUUGCUUUAGGAGCGGCCGAUGUCGGAUUAGCUAGUUGGUGAGGUAAAGGCUCACCAAGGCGACGAUCCGUAGCGGGUCUGAGAGGAUGAUCCGCCACACUGGGACUGAGACACGGCCCAGACUCCUACGGGAGGCAGCAGUGGGAAUUUUGGACAAUGGGCGCAAGCCUGAUCCAGCCAUGCCGCGUGAGUGAAGAAGGCCUUCGG
Molecule: ribosomal RNA, 392 nt
Filed under: uncultured bacterium
Lineage: Bacteria
Description: bacterial SSU rRNA
Rfam family: Bacterial small subunit ribosomal RNA
Source: RNAcentral